Molecule: ribosomal RNA, 492 nt
Filed under: uncultured bacterium
Lineage: Bacteria
Description: partial 16S ribosomal RNA
Rfam family: Bacterial small subunit ribosomal RNA
Source: RNAcentral
AGUGAACGCUGGCGGUAGGCCUAACACAUGCAAGUCGAACGGCAGCACAGUAAGAGCUUGCUCUUACGGGUGGCGAGUGGCGGACGGGUGAGGAAUGCAUCGGAAUCUACUUUUUCGUGGGGGAUAACGUAGGGAAACUUACGCUAAUACCGCAUACGACCUACGGGUGAAAGCAGGGGAUCUUCGGACCUUGCGCGAUUGAAUGAGCCGAUGUCGGAUUAGCUAGUUGGCGGGGUAAAGGCCCACCAAGGCGACGAUCCGUAGCUGGUCUGAGAGGAUGAUCAGCCACACUGGAACUGAGACACGGUCCAGACUCAUACGGGAGGCAGCAGUGGGGAAUAUUGGACAAUGGGCGCGAGCCUGAUCCAGCCAUACCGCGUGGGUGAAGAAGGCCUGCGGGUUGUAAAGCCCUUUUGUUGGGAAAGAAAAGCAGCAGGUUAAUACCCCGCGGUUCUGACGGUACCCAAAGAAUAAGCACCGGCUAACUUCGUG